RNAcentral lists this ribosomal RNA (722 nucleotides) under uncultured bacterium. RNAcentral's name for it is "bacterial SSU rRNA". It matches the Rfam family "Bacterial small subunit ribosomal RNA", at positions 97 to 796 of the family's 1533-position model. The record is from RNAcentral.
GGCGUACGGGUGAGUAACGCGUAGGUAAUCUACCCCAGAGUCUGGAAUAACCUGCCGAAAGGCGGGCUAAUACUGGAUAGAGCGACGGAAUCCGUAAUUGGGUUUUUCGGGAAAGGGAGGAAGCAAUUCCCUUCGCUCUGGGAUGAGCCUGCGUCUCAUUAGCUAGUUGGCGGGGUAAAGGCCCACCAAGGCUAUGAUGGGUAGCUGGUCUGAGAGGAUGAUCAGCCACACUGGAACUGAAACACGGUCCAGACUCCUACGGGAGGCAGCAGUGGGGAAUCUUGCGCAAUGGACGAAAGUCUGACGCAGCCACGCCGCGUGAGUGAAGAAGGCCUUCGGGUUGUAAAGCUCUGUCGAGCGGGACGAAAGGUCAUUGGGUGAAUAGCCCAGUGGUUUGACGGUACCGCUAAAGGAAGCACCGGCUAACUCCGUGCCAGCAGCCGCGGUAAUACGGAGGGUGCAAGCGUUGCUCGGAAUUAUUGGGCGUAAAGGGUAGGUAGGUGGUCUCAUUUGUCUGGGGUGAAAGCCUUGAGCUUAACUCAAGAAGUGCCCCAGAAACGGUGAGACUAGAGUCCUGGAGAGGGUCGUGGAAUUCCCGGUGUAGCGGUGAAAUGCGUAGAGAUCGGGAGGAACACCAGAGGCGAAGGCGGCGACCUGGACAGGAACUGACACUCAACUACGAAAGCGUGGGGAGCAAACAGGAUUAGAUACCCUGGUAGUCC